This 292-nucleotide ribosomal RNA is filed under the name uncultured bacterium. RNAcentral describes it as "partial 16S ribosomal RNA". It matches the Rfam family "Bacterial small subunit ribosomal RNA", at positions 505 to 796 of the family's 1533-position model. The record is from RNAcentral.
GUGUCAGCAGCCGCGGUAAUACGGAGGGUGCUAACGUUGUUCGGAAUUACUGGGCAUAAAGCGCGCGUAGGCGGUCUGCUAAGUCGGUUGUGAAAGCCCCCGGCUCAACCGGGGAAUUGCGUUCGAUACUGGCAGGCUCGAGGACGGUUGGGGUGAGUGGAACUCCAGGUGGAGCGGUGAAAUGCGUAGAUAUCUGGAGGAACACCGGUGGCGAAAGCGGCUCACUGGACCGUAACUGACGCUGAUGCGCGAAAGCUAGGGGAGCAAACGGGAUUAGAUACCCGUGUAGUCC